AGACAAUAGAUACCCAGGUAGUCCACGCCGUAAACUAUGGAUGCUAGCUGUUAGAGGUAUCGACCCCUCUAGUAGCGAAAGCUAACGCGUUAAGCAUCCCGCCUGUGGGGUACGGUCGCAAGACUAAAACAUAAAGGAAUUGACGGGGACCCGCACAAGCGGUGGAGCGUGUUGUUUAAUUCGAUGGUAAGCGAAGAACCUUACCCAGGCUUGACAUCCUUGGAAUUUUGGCGAAAGCCGAGAGUGCCUUCGGGAACCAAGUGACAGGUGUUGCAUGGCCGUCGUCAGCUCGUGUCGUGAGAUGUUUGGUUAAGUCCACAC
RNAcentral lists this ribosomal RNA (321 nucleotides) under uncultured bacterium. RNAcentral's name for it is "bacterial SSU rRNA". It matches the Rfam family "Bacterial small subunit ribosomal RNA", at positions 774 to 1093 of the family's 1533-position model. The record is from RNAcentral.